CCUACGGGAGGCAGCAGUGGGGAAUAUUGGACAAUGGGGGCAACCCUGAUCCAGCCAUGCCGCGUGUGUGAAGAAGGCCUUCGGGUUGUAAAGCACUUUAAGUUGGGAGGCGUUACCAACAGAAUAAGCACCGGCUAACUCCGUGCCAGCAGCCGCGGUAAUACGGAGGGUGCAAGCGUUAAUCGGAAUUACUGGGCGUAAAGCGCGCGUAGGCGGCCAUUUAAGCUAGAUGUGAAAGCCCAGGGCUUAACCUUGGAACUGCAUUUAGAACUGGGUGGCUAGAGUAUGGAAGAGGAGUGUGGAAUUUCAGGUGUAGCGGUGAAAUGCGUAGAGAUCUGAAGGAACAUCAGUGGCGAAGGCGACACUCUGGUCCAAACUGACGCUGAGGUGCGAAAGCGUGGGGAUCAAACAGGAUUAGAUACCCUUGUAGUC
RNAcentral lists this ribosomal RNA (432 nucleotides) under uncultured bacterium. RNAcentral's name for it is "partial 16S ribosomal RNA". It matches the Rfam family "Bacterial small subunit ribosomal RNA", at positions 338 to 795 of the family's 1533-position model. The record is from RNAcentral.